UUUUGACAAAUAUAAGAGGUCCAGCCUGCCCAGUGACUUAGUUCAACGGCCGCGGUAUCCUAACCGUGGGAAGGUAGGGUAAUCACUUGUUUUUUAAAUGAGGACUAGUAUGAAUGGCCCCCCGAGGGUUACCCUGUUUCCUUUUUUUAAUCAGUGAAACUAAUUUUCCCGUGAAGAAGCGGGAAUUUUUUUAUAAGACGAGAAGACCCUAUGGAGCUUUAAACAAAUUAACACUUGCUGUCCAAAAUAAUUUUUCCAGAAACACCCCCCCCAACAUAGCCCUAUGAUUAAUAGUUUUUGAUUGGGGUGAUCCCGGAGUAAAAAAUAACCUCCAUGCUGAAAGGGGACCCCCCCCCUGAGCAAAAAGCCACAACUUUAAGCACUAAAAAAUUAACAUUAAUUGACCCAAUAUUUUGAUCAACGAACCAAGUUACCCUAGGGAUAACAGCGCAAUCCACUUCAAGAGCUCCUAUCGACAAGUGGGUUUACGACCUCGAUGUUGGAUCAGGGUAUCCUGGUGG
RNAcentral lists this ribosomal RNA (521 nucleotides) under Boana gladiator. RNAcentral describes it as "Hypsiboas gladiator partial 16S ribosomal RNA". It matches the Rfam family "Bacterial large subunit ribosomal RNA", at positions 1834 to 2553 of the family's 2925-position model. The record is from RNAcentral. Lineage: Eukaryota; Metazoa; Chordata; Amphibia; Anura; Hylidae.